CAGUAGCCACGGGAAUACGGAGGGAGCUAGCGUUGUUCGGAAUUACUGGGCGUAAAGCGCGCGUAGGCGGUUACUCAAGUCAGAGGUGAAAGCCCGGGGCUCAACCCCGGAACUGCCUUUGAAACUAGGUGACUAGAAUCUUGGAGAGGUCAGUGGAAUUCCGAGUGUAGAGGUGAAAUUCGUAGAUAUUCGGAAGAACACCAGUGGCGAAGGCGACUGACUGGACAAGUAUUGACGCUGAGGUGCGAAAGCGUGGGGAGCAAACAGUAUUAGAUACCCGAGUAGUCCCUGUCUCUUAUAC
Molecule: ribosomal RNA, 301 nt
Filed under: uncultured bacterium
Lineage: Bacteria
Description: partial 16S ribosomal RNA
Rfam family: Bacterial small subunit ribosomal RNA
Source: RNAcentral